GGUCAAUAGCCUAACGGCUGAACCAGCAACUUGGAGGAAUGAAUAGCAAUAGCUAACUGCACUAAAAGUUUUAGUGUAAAAUCGACUCUGUUGAAUAAAAUUCUGGGUAGUAUUAUGAUAAUGACAUUAUCUAUUCAUAAGUCUUGACCAAAUUACGUGCCAGCAGUCGCGGUAAUACGUAGAAGACAAGUGUUAUUCAUCUUUAAUAGGUUUAAAGGGUACUUAGACGGUAAAUCAAGCCUCAAAAAGGGACUAAUUUUCUAGAGUUUUAUGUGAAAAAGUAUUAAAGUACUAAUGGUGUAGAGAUGAAAUUCUGUUAUACCUCGGAUGGCACAGGUUAAGGCGAAAGCAUCUUUUUAUGUAAAAACUGACGUUGAAGGACGAAGGCUUUGUGUCUCGAAUAGGAUUAGAUACCCUAAUAGUCUAAGCAGACAAUGAUGAAUGUCAUAGGUUAGAUGUAAUUUGACCUAUAAAUGAAAGUGUAAGCAUUCCACCUCAAGAGUAAUUUGGCAACAUUGGAACUGAAAUCAUUAGACCGUUUCUGAAACCAGUAGUGAAGUAUGUUGUUUAAUUUGAUAAUCCGCAAAAAACCUUACCACUUUAUAUAAUAUGAAUAGAUAUAUUUUAUCAUACAAGCGUUGCACGGCUGUCUUCAGUUAAUGUCGUGAGACUUUGGUUAGUUCCAUAAAAUUAACGUAAACCCUUACUUUAUUUUUAUAUAAAGUAGCUCACCGCUAUAUUGGAUGUGAUAAUAGGGAUCAAGACAAGUCAUCAUGACCUAAAUAUUGUGGGCUAUAGACGUGCCACAUAUGCCUUACAAAGAGAUGCUAAAUUGUGAAAUUGAGCUAAUCUCCUAAAAUUGGAUAUAA
Molecule: ribosomal RNA, 869 nt
Filed under: Loekoesia yuchiorum
Lineage: Eukaryota; Fungi; Ascomycota; Lecanoromycetes; Teloschistales; Teloschistaceae
Description: SSU rRNA
Rfam family: Bacterial small subunit ribosomal RNA
Source: RNAcentral